This is a long non-coding RNA of Amblyraja radiata (thorny skate), 509 nucleotides long. RefSeq lists it as uncharacterized. The transcript has 2 exons. The record is from RefSeq and is a predicted model, not a curated record. NCBI's taxonomy places the organism in Eukaryota, Metazoa, Chordata, Chondrichthyes, Rajiformes, Rajidae.
AAAGAAUUUCACAGACCACAAAUGGGUUCAUUUGUAAAAGGUAAUAUUGUGUUAAUCAAAAUGAUUUGGAAAGAAAGGUUUCAUUUUUUCUGGAACCGCUUAAAGACUAAUUUUUUUUUUGAAGCAGUCAGAAAGCGGCAAGGUCCAAGAGAUCUGACCACUUGCAAUAACUUCAUUUUUAUCAUUACUAGGUUGCCUUUCUCACUGGCUGGCCAUUAUUACUCAAUCUACUAUGAUUUCCAAAAUAUUUUGAAUCGCUCCAUUUAUUCUGCUAAGGAAUUAAAUAUUUGUUAAAUCGUUGGCAUAAUUCUUUGCCCUCAAGGGUGAUUGGGAUUUGACACCAAAUUUAGUUUAAUAAAGUAUUUGACAAUUUAUUAUUGCAUGGCGAGCCAACACUGUAUGCCCAAGCUCUGUUGUGGGCCUUUUACCCAAAUCUCUUGAUUCAUAGUGACUGGACUAAAUUGUGCUGAGAGUAACAAUGCCUGCAACAAUUGUGAUGGCAGCUGGAG